Molecule: long non-coding RNA, 191 nt
Organism: Hibiscus syriacus
Lineage: Eukaryota; Viridiplantae; Streptophyta; Magnoliopsida; Malvales; Malvaceae
Exons: 2
Source: RefSeq, a predicted model, not a curated record
AGGUUAUUGAGGCUGGAGCAAAUGCUCUAGUGGCUGGCUCAGCUGUAUUUGGAGUCAAAGACUAUGCCGAAGCUAUUAGAGGAAUCAAAACCAGCAAAAGGCCGGAAGCAGUGGCAGUGUGAUUAUGCCGCUGAAGAUAUCCGAUCGGCUCUGAUGUAUGAUAUCUGAUUUUACAUUCACAUGUAUGUUAC